AACGAACGCUGGCGGCAGGCUUAACACAUGCAAGUCGAACGCGUGCAGCAAUGCACGAGUGGCGCACGGGUGAGUAACGCGUGGAUAUCUGCCUUUUGGUUCGGAAUAACCCCGGGAAACUGGGGCUAAUACCGGAUGGUUCCUACGGGAUAAAGAUUUAUCGCCAAAAGAUGAGUCCGCGUCCGAUUAGCUAAUUGGUGAGGUAAUGGCUCACCAAGGCGACGAUCGGUAGCUGGUCUGAGAGGACGAUCAGCCACACUGGGACUGAGACACGGCCCAGACUCCUACGGGAGGCAGCAGUGGGGAAUAUUGGACAAUGGGGGCAACCCUGAUCCAGCCAUGCCGCGUGAGUGAUGAAGGCCUUCGGGUUGUAAAGCUCUUUUGGCGGGGACGAUGAUGACGGUACCCGCAGAAUAAGCCCCGGCUAACUUCGUG
RNAcentral lists this ribosomal RNA (435 nucleotides) under uncultured bacterium. Its description in RNAcentral is "partial 16S ribosomal RNA". It matches the Rfam family "Bacterial small subunit ribosomal RNA", at positions 29 to 507 of the family's 1533-position model. The record is from RNAcentral.